Long non-coding RNA from Syngnathus typhle (broad-nosed pipefish), 1410 nucleotides. RefSeq lists it as uncharacterized. NCBI's taxonomy places the organism in Eukaryota, Metazoa, Chordata, Actinopteri, Syngnathiformes, Syngnathidae. The record is from RefSeq and is a predicted model, not a curated record. The transcript is spliced from 17 exons.
CUCUACACGGUCUCAUUCUUCUGCUUCACUUGGUUGAGCUGCAUCAACCUGUUUGACGACUCAAAAUGCCGGACGCUACUAAUUUAAAGCGUUUAUGGUGGCCAUGUCAAAGACUCAAGUCGUUCAAGAUGAUCCAUUUUGUGCUGGGAUCAGCUACCUGACUGAGAGGCAUUUUCCUUCCUGGCUUGUAUGCAGAUAAAUGCCGAUCCACUGUAUGCUGGAAUCAGCCACUUGACCGAGGUUCCUUCUUGCCAUGUAUGCAGGUAAAACGGCUGCAUGAUUGCUGAGAGAAGUCAGCUUGUCGACGGCAGGCAACAGAAAACGAGGCAAGUUAAAAGGAGGUGAACUAACCCCUCAAGUAGAUGCCCUCAUGCAGCAAUUGAGGCAAAGGUUAACUGUGGGCACUUGCUGAAUGGGCUAAAGAAACUUGGUUUUCCUUCAGCCGUCCCUCCUGUCUGCAGAAUAUCUAAAAGGGUUGCAUUUUGAAGUUGGUACAAAGAGGAAGUGUGCACUUGCUGAUUGCGCAACACUUGAUUGGUUUACCUUCAGCCACCACCCCCUUGUCUGCAGCAUGGCUAAAAUGGUUGCCUUUAAGUUGGUACAAAGAGGAAGUGUGCACUUGCUGAUUGCGCAACACUUGAUUGGUUUACCUUCAGCCACCACCCCCUUGUCUGCAGCAUGGCUAAAAUGGUUGCCUUUAAGUUGGUACAAAGAGGAAGUGUGCACUUGCUGAUUGCGCAACGCUUGAUUGGUUUACCUUCAGCCACCACCCCCUUGUCUGCAGCAUGGCUAAAAUGGUUGCCUUUAAGUUGGUACAAAGAGGAAGUGUGCACUUGCUGAAUGUGCAACGCUUGACUGGUAUUCCUUGAACCACCACCCCCUUGUCUGCAGCAUAGCGGAAAUGGUUGCCUUGAAGUUGGUACAAAGAGGAAGUGUGCACUUGCUGAAUGCGCAACGCUUGAUUGGUAUUCCUUCAACCACCACCCCCUUGUCUGCAGCAUAGCGGAAAUGGUUGCCUUUAAGUUGGUACAAAGAGGAAGUGUGCACUUGCUGAAUGCGCAAUGCUUGAUUGGUAUUCCUUCAACCACCACCCCCUUGUCUGCAGCAUAGCGGAAAUGGUUGCCUUUAAGUUGGUACGUUUAGUUUCAAAUUGGUCACUAAAUUGGAAAAAAAUACAGGCCACAUGGAUGAUGAAGAAUUCUGCCAGAUGAUUUAUGAUUAUAAUGGCACUGUUCCCAUUUUUUUCCUGACUUUGUGGCCAACCAUAACUAAUAUAUAGUUGAAGGUUCAUGCAUGGUACUAACUACAGUUUUUAUGUAUUCCCAUAGGUACAAAGAGGAAAUGAGGAUAUUCUGAAUGGAAUGAAGAUAACCUGAUUUGUUUGUUCUAUGAAUAAAGAAACUUCUUUAA